GACGAACGCUGGCGGCGUGCUUAACACAUGCAAGUCGAACGGAAAGGCCCUGCUUUUGUGGGGUGCUCGAGUGGCGAACGGGAGAGUAACACGAGAGUAAACUGCCCUUGACUUUGGGAUAACUUCAGGAAACUGGGGCUAAUACCGGAUAGGGGCUCCUGCUGCAUGGGGGGGGUGGGAAAGGUUCGGCGGUUGGGGCUGGACUCGCGGGUUAUCAGCUUGUUGGUGGGGUAGUGGCUUACCAAGGCUUUGACGGGUAGCCGGCCUGAGAGGGUGACCGGCCCCAUUGGGACUGAGAUACGGCCCAGACUCCUACGGGAGGCAGCAGUGGGGAAUAUUGCACAAUGGGCGGAAGCCUGAUGCAGCAACGCCGCGUGCGGGAUGACGGCCUUCGGGUUGUAAACCGCUUUCGCCUGUGACGAAGCGUGAGUGACGGUAAUGGGUAAAGAAGCACCGGCUAACUACGUG
Molecule: ribosomal RNA, 468 nt
Filed under: uncultured bacterium
Lineage: Bacteria
Description: partial 16S ribosomal RNA
Rfam family: Bacterial small subunit ribosomal RNA
Source: RNAcentral